Molecule: long non-coding RNA, 527 nt
Organism: Alligator sinensis (Chinese alligator)
Lineage: Eukaryota; Metazoa; Chordata; Crocodylia; Alligatoridae
Exons: 3
Source: RefSeq, a predicted model, not a curated record
GAAGACUUACUUGAUAUCUGGUCAGAAAGUCAAGGAGCCCCAUUGCAGUUGUGCACAAGCAUUGCUUUCUGGCCUGGAGUCAGGGGAUGGUACCAAGGUACAGGCAGUGCCAUCAGUUGAGAACAUUGGUGACAUGACAAAGACUCUCAGGCACUCAGAAAAUCUGAAGACAUGCCCUUCAUGUAGUGUUACAAUUGCCACCAACUGUGAUGUCAGUAUAGAGGAAGGAGCUAUCCAAAAUGGCUGUCAGGAUGAACAUAAAAACAGUACUAAGCAGGCUCCUGGUGGACACAGUCCAAAGACCCAGAAUGGACUUUUGAGUCCUCCACAGGAAGAAAAGCUCAGCAAUAGCCAGACAUCACUUUAUGAAAUGUUGCAAGAGAAAGGAAGAUGGGUAGGAGUGAGCUUGGAUCAGACAGCACUUCUUCCACUGAGGUUUAAAAACAUCAGAGAGAAGACAGAUGCACAUUUUGUGGAUGUGAUUAAAGAAGACAGGUAAGAAAGAAUUAUGUAACUUAAAAGCAGUC